UUAUUAUCUAAUUAUUGCAUGGACCUGCACCAGAGCUCAAUUAAUAUAUCCAUAUAUAAUGAUAUAAAGAAGAUGUUCAGACAUUGUGACUGAGGAUGCAUUCCUAUGUUCAGAAAUGGUUGGAUAAAACAUUAGAACACACAGACACAAAAUGGACGAGCAGGAUUCCAUGGUUGCUAUGGUCCUUCCGAUGAUUCUAUGGAAUCCUCAUUUGAACAUAAACAACCACUCAAGCAGUCACAAAAAGUGUUUCCUCAAGUUCAGCUCAACGAUUUCUUGCUAACAGCCUUUUCUACUGCGAACUUCUUCCUUCAUUACAAGAACUAAAGAGUCACAGAGACUGACCAGAGCGACUAAAGUAACUUUCAUCAUGGAAAAUUGUGACGUUCCCGUUCUCCUGACCGACAACCAGACAGGAAGGAGAACCUCUGCUCGCCAGGCAGAGAGCGCGUCGAGGCCCUCAGCCUGGAGACAGUGUUCAUGCUGCAGGGACAAGCAGGGGCCGACUCUAAAGAGAAAGCGCCGGCCCUCUGCUGCUCCCGGAGACCUUCACCAGAAGAGGAAGCGCACCUCCGGAGCCCGUCCCCUCCCUGACCAUCCAGAGGUGCUGGACUGUGUCCCUGCUGUGCAGCCCUCCCCAGCUGGUGACCAUUCAGGGUCUUUGGUGGAGAAGCCUAGAGCCACCAUCCCACCUGCUGACCUGCCCCGAGUCUCCUGUGUGGCCCCCAGCCUCCAGCCCUCCACGGCUCCACUGCACGACGGGCCUCUGAAGAUAUUCAACCUCCCAGUGGAAGAAUACCAGCAGCUGUACCACGAGGUUGUUGAUGAAAUGCUGAGGUUCAAGAGCGGCCGUCUGCGUCCUUACACUCUGAGCCUGGGGCGCGUCAUCAAGCAGAAGCUGUGGCAGAGACUGGACCGUCCCCUGUUCACCGAAACAGUCAACGGAGACGGACUGGUGCACGUGGAUGUCUCCUACGGGGUUGGAGUCUUCCCUCCCCUCCACCAGGUGGACAUUUUGGGGGAGCCAAAGCCAGGGACACCACCGAAGAGCUAAAAACUCAAAAGUAGCAAUCUGCAGUUGCUGCCUCCAACUGCAGGUUGCCGGCAGCUGCUACCAAAGGUAGCUGCUACCAAAGGUAGCAGCUGCUUAUAUAGGCUCAACCCCUAAACUGCUGUUACCACCUCCACCAGCAGAUAUUGGCAGACAGCUGGAAGCAAACCUUCACCUUGAUCCUCUGCCAGUGACCUGCAGUUGCUGCCUCCAACUGCAGGUUGCUGGCAGCUAGCUGCAACCAAAUCUUCACCUACGGCCUCUGCCAGUGACCUGUUGAUGCCGCCUCCAACUGCAGGUUGCUGGCAGACAGCUUCAACCAAACCUCCACCUAUGUCCAACGACCACAGUUGCACCACCUGCAGUCUCUGCCAGCCUACACCUAAAAUCCUCUGCCAGCAACCUGCGUUUUUUGCCUCCAACUGCAGUCUGCUUGCAGACAACUGCAACUUAAUUCCAUCUUAACAGCCUCUGCCACAAACCUGCAGUUGCACCCUCCACUUGCAGAUUGUGGUUGAGGGGCUACAACCAAACCUCCACCGCCAGCUGUAGCUAAAUAUCCAGCCUCUGCCACUAAUCUGCUGUUACAUUCUCCACCAGCAGAUAUUGGCAGACAGCUGCAACUGAACCUGAAUCUUCUGCCUCUGCCAGCACCUGCAGUGUCUGCCUAAAACGGUUGGUUGUUGGCAGUCAGCUGCAACCAAAUCUCCACCUAAAUAGCCUCUGACCUGCUAUUGCUGCCUCCAGCUGUGGCUGCCUCCAGCAUGGCCUACGCCAGUUACCUCUGUAUGCCGCCUCCACCUGAACAUACUGAUGAACCCUAACUCUACCUCCCAAACCUCCACCUUCACGCAUCUGCCGCAACCUGCAGUUACCGCCUCUAACUGUAGUAUGCUGGAAGACAUUUGUAUAAAGAUGCCUUUGAAGCCUCAACGUAAAGCCUUUGUCAGAUCCUGUAGGUGCCGCCUCCACCUGCAGGGUAUGGCAGGCAGAUGCCGUUAAAUCCUCCACCUUUAGCCUCUGCGACAAUGUGCAGUUGCCUACUCCACCUGUAGACUUUUGUAGAAAGCUGCAGCAGAACCUCCAUCUAAAACCACUGCCAGUUACCUAUGGAUUUUGCCUCCACCUGAAGAUCCUGGUGAUAAUCUACCUUUCAAACCUCCACCUUCAGGCCCCUGCCACAAUCUGCUGAUGUUUCAUCCAUGUGUCCAACCUCAUCAAGAUGCAACCAAAGCUUCACCUAAAUAGCUUCUACCACAAACCUGCCAUUCACGUCUCCACCAGUAGAUUGUGGCAAGCGGCUGAAACCGAACCUCCACCUAGAGCCACCUACAGUUACUUGUCGGCACCUAAACGUCCACCUUCCUGCCUCUGGCAAAACCUGCUGCUCACCACCACCGGCAGUUUGUGCAGAGUGCUGCCUUUCAAAUCUUCAACUACAGCCUCUGCCAGAAUCUACAUUUGUUCCCUCCACCUGCGGAUUCUGGCACCUGCCGUUCCUCCACCUACGACCUCUAAAUUGUCUUACUCCUGAGAAACUUCAUCCACAACUCCCAUUGAGCCAGAAUUCAACGUGCUCCAGCGCAUGCAUCCUUUGCGAUGCUACACCUGAAGGCUCUCCCAGCUGCAACCGAACCUCCUCCUACAUAGCUUCUGCCAGCAACCCACAGUUGCGCCCUCUACCUGUAGAUUGCACAGCCUCUGCUUACCUGUGGAAGCCUCCACCUGAAGAUCCUUGAAGAUCGCUAGAGCAUCAACCUCCACACACAACCAUCACCGUGCACCUACAACUCUGCCUAAACUAUCUGCCAGCCAACUUUGUUGUUGGACUCCACACGUCCAGAUGUACCAGGAGCUGAUCGAGAGCCGGGAUCAUUCCUUCUACCACAAGAGCCAUGUUCCAGAGAUG
This is a non-coding RNA of Gasterosteus aculeatus aculeatus (three-spined stickleback), 2960 nucleotides long. The record is from RefSeq and is a predicted model, not a curated record. NCBI's taxonomy places the organism in Eukaryota, Metazoa, Chordata, Actinopteri, Perciformes, Gasterosteidae.